This 297-nucleotide ribosomal RNA is filed under the name uncultured Pseudomonadota bacterium. RNAcentral describes it as "uncultured proteobacterium partial 16S ribosomal RNA". It matches the Rfam family "Bacterial small subunit ribosomal RNA", at positions 29 to 351 of the family's 1533-position model. The record is from RNAcentral. Lineage: Bacteria; Pseudomonadati; Pseudomonadota.
AGCGAACGCUGGCGGCAGGCUUAACACAUGCAAGUCGAGCGGGCGUAGCAAUACGUCAGCGGCAGACGGGUGAGUAACGCGUGGGAACAUACCUUUUGGUUCGGAACAACCCAGGGAAACUUGGGCUAAUACCGGAUAAGCCCUUACGGGGAAAGAUUUAUCGCCGAAAGAUUGGCCCGCGUCUGAUUAGCUAGUUGGUGAGGUAAUGGCUCACCAAGGCGACGAUCAGUAGCUGGUCUGAGAGGAUGAUCAGCCACAUUGGGACUGAGACACGGCCCAAACUCCUACGGGAGGCAG